RNAcentral lists this ribosomal RNA (253 nucleotides) under uncultured bacterium. Its description in RNAcentral is "partial 16S ribosomal RNA". It matches the Rfam family "Bacterial small subunit ribosomal RNA", at positions 524 to 776 of the family's 1533-position model. The record is from RNAcentral.
UACGGAGGGUGCAAGCGUUAUCCGGAUUUACUGGGUUUAAAGGGUGCGUAGGUAGGUUGGUAAGUCAGUGGUGAAAUACUUUCGCUUAACGAAGGAACUGCCAUUGAUACUAUCAAUCUUGAAUGUAGUGGAGGUAGGCGGAAUGCGUCAUGUAGCGGUGAAAUGCUUAGAUAUGACGCAGAACACCAAUUGCGAAGGCAGCUUGCUACACUACUAUUGACACUGAGGCACGAAAGCGUGGGGAUCAAACAGG